UACGGAGGGGGCCAGCGUUGUUCGGAAUCAUUGGGCGUAAAGGGCGCGUAGGCGGCUUUGUAAGUCCGUUGUGAAAUCCCUCGGCUCAACCGAGGAACUGCGACGGAUACUGCUUGGCUUGAGUCCCGGAGAGGGUAGCGGAAUUCCCAGUGUAGCGGUGAAAUGCGUAGAUAUUGGGAGGAACACCGGUGGCGAAGGCGGCCCUCUGGACCGGUACUGACGCUGAUGCGCGAAAGCGUGGGGAGCAAACAGG
This 253-nucleotide ribosomal RNA is filed under the name uncultured bacterium. Its description in RNAcentral is "partial 16S ribosomal RNA". It matches the Rfam family "Bacterial small subunit ribosomal RNA", at positions 524 to 776 of the family's 1533-position model. The record is from RNAcentral.